This 769-nucleotide unclassified non-coding RNA is filed under the name soil metagenome. RNAcentral's name for it is "partial contains internal transcribed spacer 1, 5.8S ribosomal RNA, and internal transcribed spacer 2". The stretch from base 138 to 291 matches the Rfam family "5.8S ribosomal RNA". The record is from RNAcentral.
CAGAGUUGCAAAACUCCCAACCCUUUGUGAACGUACUGAAAAGUUGCUUCGGCGGGAGGCUCCUCAGGGAGCGGACCGCCGGAGGAAUCCAAACUCUUGUUUUUUUGGCAUCUCUGAGUAGCUUAUAAAUAAGUUAAAACUUUCAACAACGGAUCUCUUGGUUCUGGUAUCGAUGAAGAACGCAGCGAAAUGCGAUAAGUAAUGUGAAUUGCAGAAUUCAGUGAAUCAUCGAAUCUUUGAACGCACAUUGCGCCCGCCAGUAUUCUGGCGGGCAUGCCUGUUCGAGCGUCAUUUCAACCAUCAAGCCCCAGGCUUGUGUUGGAGCCCUGCGGCUGCCGCAGCCUCCUAAAAGCAGUGGCGGGCUCGCUAUCACACCGAGUGCAGUAGUUUACUCUUCGCUCAGGGCGUGUGGCGGGUUCCAGCCGUUAAACCCCCUACUUUUACAAGGUUGACCUCGGAUCAGGUAGGAAUACCCGCUGAACUUAAGCAUAUCAAUAAGCGGAGGAUCGUACGCUUGGUCAUUUAGAGGAAGUAAAAGUCGUAACAAGGUCUCCGUUGGUGAACCAGCGGAGGGAUCAUUACAGAGUUGCAAAACUCCCACAAACCAUCGCGAAUCUUACCCGUACGGUUGCCUCGGCGCUGGCGGUCCGGAAGGCCCUCGGGCCCCCCGGAUCCUCGGGUCUCCCGCUCGCGGGAGGCUGCCCGCCGGAGUGCCGAAACCAAACUCUUGAUAUUUUAUGUCUCUCUGAGUAAACUUUUAAAUAAGUCA